Molecule: long non-coding RNA, 1323 nt
Filed under: Homo sapiens (human)
Lineage: Eukaryota; Metazoa; Chordata; Mammalia; Primates; Hominidae
Description: non-protein coding lnc-LDHAL6A-1:3
Source: RNAcentral
ACUUCCGGGCCGCCGUCCUGCGGGCAAGGGUGGACACCGUGUGGGAUUGAGAGGGGCCUGGUGGGGUGGGUUCCAACCAACCCGCCCCUCGAGUGCCGGAAUCAGCAGGACGAAUCGGGUCCCAAAGAUGUGGGCAAGACUGUUCCGAGGGUCGAAACUCUGGUUCAGGAUAAGAUUAGCAGGUAUUUCACAGAGUCGACUUAAGGAAGCUAGUGCCGGAGAGGGAAGAAGUACGAAGGGCUUGCCAGUGAGCCUUAAUGACUGAUUGAUCAAGUGGGAGGGCACUGCACUGGCGGUCAGAGAACUGUUCUGUCACUGACUUGCUCUUGUGAUAAUGGUAGGCUAGUGCAUUUCUAGCUCAGGCGCAAAUUUCUCCCGACUCUAAAGUCAUACACUUGCCUUAGAUGAUGCCCAGUGGUCCUCUAAUUAAUGAUUUUUUUUAAGCUUAAAGACCUUCAUACUAUACGUUGGCAAGGGUAAAGUGUAGAGCCUUUGUUUCACAAGAAGCCAGAUAGUAAUUUCUUCUCCAGGAAAUCAUUCCGUAAGUCAGAAUUUCUCCUCUGUACCCACCCAUAAAUGAUAAUACAGGCCGUAUUUUACCUGGUGCUGUAUUUGUGUACCUGUCCGCUGUCAAAAUCCAAGCCCUUGAAGGCAGGCUUCCUUCAGAUCUUCAUUGCCUUGCACAAUGCAAGGGUAGGUACUUCCAUCUUAAUUGAAUUUUUACUUCCCAUAAAAAUUCUUCAUGGUGACUUACAUUAGUCAUCAUUACACAUCACCGUCAGUUUUGUAAGCACAGUGUCAUUCAAGGUAUUGUAAAAUUUUGAGUUUGAUGAUGUGUGACAGUUUCAAUUAUUUUAGUACAGCCCUAAUGAGAACAAGGCCGUAGUAUUGAUUCCCUUCAAAGUUGGCGUCUAAGUGAAGGUCACAUUCACAAGGAGGGCCUAACUGAAAGCAUGUGGAAGCAUCAUUAUAAACUGUUGCUAACACGCACAAAUAAAGGCUAUUAAUAGGUAUUGUUUUUCUUUUUCUUUUUCUUUUUUUUUUUUUUUUGAGUCACUCUCACUCCAUCGCCCAGGCUGGAGUGCAGUAGCACCAUCUCGGCUCACUGCAACCUCCGCCUCUGUUUUUCAGCUCCUUAGUUAAGCAUACAGCUCCAGUCAAACCAAACUAGAGGUCUGUCUGUCCUUCCAUUUUACUUGCUGUUUUAUGUCUUUUAAAAGCAAGAAGGUUUUCAAACUGUUCUUAAAGCCACGGCUUAACCAGGAGUCCCUUUAAUUAGAGCAACUGUACCUUUGUGAGUUGGAGGAAUGCCAGGUAAUAUAU